This 396-nucleotide long non-coding RNA is filed under the name Aquila chrysaetos chrysaetos. Its description in RNAcentral is "lncRNA (ENSACCG00020015039.1)". The record is from RNAcentral. Lineage: Eukaryota; Metazoa; Chordata; Aves; Accipitriformes; Accipitridae.
AGAGACCGGAAGAGGUGGGUGCCAUGGCAACGGCGUACACAGCCCCCGCCGGCCGCCGCGGCUUCUCCUCGCCCGGGCCCGGUUGAGGAGGGGACGCAGGCCCCCGUUAUUGGUGCAGCCGUGUCACCAGCCGCCUCGCAUCCCACACUGUCUGGCUGGUUUGCAGUCAGCUGGGAAGGCAGAAGAUCAUUUAUUUGAAGACAGUUGCCGAUGCUGAAGAGAUUAUGGUCGCGGUAACCUAGCUCUAUUUUGGAUUCUACAGUGGGCAUUGUGUUGGCAUCGCUGCGGUAGUCAAGGAAAAGGACACGGCGCCCACGGUACCUUUACCAGGUAGUCAUUCAAAUGGUCACCUCUGUUUUAAAUAAAGAGAAGUCUUGGUUCAACUCACAUGUCUAU